Molecule: ribosomal RNA, 264 nt
Filed under: Escherichia coli
Lineage: Bacteria; Pseudomonadati; Pseudomonadota; Gammaproteobacteria; Enterobacterales; Enterobacteriaceae
Description: partial 16S ribosomal RNA
Rfam family: Bacterial small subunit ribosomal RNA
Source: RNAcentral
AAAUUGAAGAGUUUGAUCAUGGCUCAGAUUGAACGCUGGCGGCAGGCCUAACACAUGCAAGUCGAACGGUAACAGGAAGCAGCUUGCUGCUUUGCUGACGAGUGGCGGACGGGUGAGUAAUGUCUGGGAAACUGCCCGAUGGAGGGGGAUAACUACUGGAAACGGUAGCUAAUACCGCAUAACGUCGCAAGACCAAAGAGGGGGACCUUAGGGCCUCUUGCCAUCGGAUGUGCCCAGAUGGGAUUAGCUAGUAGGUGGGGUAAU